Molecule: ribosomal RNA, 441 nt
Filed under: uncultured bacterium
Lineage: Bacteria
Description: partial 16S ribosomal RNA
Rfam family: Bacterial small subunit ribosomal RNA
Source: RNAcentral
CCUACGGGAGACAGCAGUGGGGGAUAUUGCACAAUGGGGGGAACCCUGAUGCAGCGACGCCGCGUGGGUGAAGGAGUAUCUCGGUAUGUAAAGCCCUAUCGGCAGGGAAGAAUUUAGACGGUACCUGACUAAGAAGCCCCGGCGAACUACGUGCCAGCAGCCGCGGUAAUUCGUAGGGGGCAAGCGUUAUCCGGAUUCACUGGGUGGAAAGGGAGCGUAGACGGCCAGGCAAGCCUGGAGUGAAAGCCCGGGGCCCAACCCCGGGACUGCUCUGGGAACUGUCCGGCCGGAGUGCGGGAGGGGCAGGCGGAAUUCGUGGUGGAGCGGUGAAAUGCGUAGAUAUCAGGAGGAACACCGGCGGCGAAGGCGGCCUGCUGGACCGCGACUGACGUUGAGGCUCGAAAGCGUGGGGAGCGAACAGGAUUAGAUACCCCAGUAGUC